GUCGCCGUCAGCUGAAAUUCGUAGCGGUUAUCGGUAAAAAUAAUCUAAACUAUCAAUCGCGUUCACUCGAGAUAUAGUUUUUCGCAUUCCAUUCAUAAAUCGCAAAAAGAAAAACCACUACUGACCUACCUUUUAAGUAAUCACACUGUAAUAAUCCUGACCUUCACAUUUUCCAGAAUAUUUUCCAUUGUAAUUCCGCCAUCUUCGUUUCUAUGAGGAUCAUUUGUUU
RNAcentral lists this long non-coding RNA (229 nucleotides) under Mytilus galloprovincialis (Mediterranean mussel). The record is from RNAcentral. Lineage: Eukaryota; Metazoa; Mollusca; Bivalvia; Mytilida; Mytilidae.